GAUGAACGCUGGCGGCAUGCCUAAUACAUGCAAGUCGAACGGGGGUGCUUGCACCCCAGUGGCGAACGGGUGAGUAACACGUAUCUAAUCUACCUUUUAGAGGGGGACAACAGUUGGAAACGACUGCUAAUACCGCGUAUGACAUUAUUAUCGCAUGAGAAAAUGUUGAAAGGUGCGUUUGCACCGCUAAAAGAUGAGGAUGCGGCGUAUUAGCUAGUAGGUGGGGUAAUGGCCCACCUAGGCAAUGAUACGUAGCCGAACUGAGAGGUUGAUCGGCCACAUUGGGACUGAGAUACGGCCCAGACUCCUACGGGAGGCAGCAGUAGGGAAUUUUUCACAAUGGACGAAAGUCUGAUGAAGCAAUGCCGCGUGAGUGGUGACGGUCUUAGGAUUGUAAAGCUCUGUUGUAAAGGAAGAAAAUGCAGAAUAGGAAAUGAUUUUGCACUGACGGUACUUUACCAGAAAGCCACGGCUAACUAUGUGCCAGCAGCCGCGGUAAUACAUAGGUGGCAAGCGUUAUCCGGAUUUAUUGGGCGUAUAGGGUGCGUAGCCGGUAUUAUAAGUCUGAGGUUAAAGGCUGGAGCUCAACUCCAGUUCGCCUUGGAAACUGUUUUACUAGAGUACGGAAGAGAUAGAUGGAAUUCCAUGUGUAGCGGUGAAAUGCGUAGAGAUUUGGAGGAACACCAGUGGCGAAGGCGGCUUUCUGGACUGUAACUGACGCUGAGGCGCGAAAGCGUGGGGAGCCAAACAGGAUUAGAUACCCUGGUAGUCCACGCUGUAAAACGAUGGAUGCUAGGUGUGGGAGGUAUCGACCCCUUUCCGUGCCGGAGUAAACACAAAUAAAGCAUCCCGCCUGGGGGAGUACGGCCGCAAGGUUGAAACUCAAAGGAAUUGACGGGGGCCCGCACAAGCAGCGGAGCAUGUGGAUUAAUUCGACGCAACGCGAAGAACCUUACCAGGUCUUGACAUCCCUUGAAGUAUGGUGAAAGCCAUACGUCCUUCGGGACAAGGAGACAGGUGGUGCAUGGUUGUCGUCAGCUCGUGUCGUGAGAUGUUGGGUUAAGUCCCGCAACGAGCGCAACCCUUAUUUUCAGUUACUAACGGGUAAAGCCGAGGACUCUGGAGAGACUGCCGUGGACAACACGGAGGAAGGUGGGGACGACGUCAAAUCAUCAUGCCCCUUAUGACCUGGGCUUCACACGUGCUACAAUGGCCGCAACAAAGAGGUGCGAAGCAGCAAUGCGGAGCGGAUCUCAAAAAAGCGGUCCCAGUUCGGAUCGUGGGCUGCAACCCGCCCACGUGAAGUCGGAGUUGCUAGUAAUCGCGGAUCAGCAUGCCGCGGUGAAUACGUUCCCGGGCCUUGUACACACCGCCCGUCACACCAUGGGAGUUGAGAGCGCCCAAAGUCAGUGAGGCAACCGCAAGGAGCCAGCUGCCUAAGGUGAGCUCGAUGACUGGGGUG
This 1462-nucleotide ribosomal RNA is filed under the name uncultured Bacillota bacterium. RNAcentral's name for it is "bacterial SSU rRNA". It matches the Rfam family "Bacterial small subunit ribosomal RNA". The record is from RNAcentral. Lineage: Bacteria; Bacillati; Bacillota.